Molecule: ribosomal RNA, 787 nt
Filed under: uncultured archaeon
Lineage: Archaea
Description: bacterial SSU rRNA
Rfam family: Archaeal small subunit ribosomal RNA
Source: RNAcentral
ACUGCUCAGUAACACGUAGCUAACCUGCCCUAUCGCCCGUGAUAUCCUCGGGAAACUGAGGUUAAGAACGGAUAGGCGCCGACUACUGGAAUGUGUUGGCGCUGAAAAUUUGCGAUAGACUGGGGCUGCGGUGGAUUAGGUUGUUGGCGGAGUAAUAGCCCACCAAGCCGAUGAUCCAUACGGGUUUUUAGCGAAAGGGCCCGGAGAGGGAGUCUGAGACACUACUCCCAGCCCUACGGGGUGCAGCAGUCGGGUAUUUUCUGCAAUGUACGAAAGUAUGACAGGGCGAGCCAGAGUGAUUCUCUAUAUUUGAGAAUCUUUUGUGACAUGUAAAUAGUGUUACGAAUAAGGACCGGGCAAGACCGGUGCCAGCCGCCGCGGUAACACCGGCGGCCCGAGUGGUGAUCGUGAUUAUUGGGUCUAAAGGGUCCGUAGCCGGUUUGGUCAGUCCUCCGGGAAAUCUGACGGCUCAACCGUUAGGCUUUCGGGGGAUACUGCCAGGCUUGGAACCGGGAGAGGUAAGAGGUACUACAGGGGUAGGAGUGAAAUCUUGUAAUCCCUGUGGGACCACCUGUGGCGAAGGCGUCUUACCAGAACGGGUUCGACGGUGAGGGACGAAAGCUGGGGGCACGAACCGGAUUAGAUACCCGGGUAGUCCCAGCCGUAAACGAUGCUCGCUAGGUGUCAGGCAUGGCGCGACCGUGUCUGGUGCCGCAGGGAAGCCGUGAAGCGAGCCACCUGGGAAGUACGGCCGCAAGGCUGAAACUUAAAGGAAUUGGCGGGGGAG